Non-coding RNA from Hordeum vulgare subsp. vulgare (domesticated barley), 124 nucleotides. NCBI's taxonomy places the organism in Eukaryota, Viridiplantae, Streptophyta, Magnoliopsida, Poales, Poaceae. The record is from Rfam.
AAUGUACUCCCUCCGUCCGGAAAUACUUGUCCUAGAAAUGAAUAAAAUGGAUGCAUCUAUAACUAAACUAAGUUUAGAUACAUGCAUUUCUAGAACAAGUAUUUUCAGACGGAGGGAGUAGUAU